CUCGGCAGUAUGUAAAUAACAUGCAAAUGAACGCGUUGCGUCACCUAGCAACGUUUAGGGGGCUUUAAAGCAGGAUUUUGCUUGUUUUACUCUUAAUAAUAUGGAAAAACAGCCUCUAACAGGCUUUAUGAACAGUUGUAGAGGUUAAAAAUGCAUGUAAAGUGUCCUAAAGUGGCAUAAAAUACCCAGUUUCAGAGUUUGAAAGUGUUAAUUCUCCCUGAAGCCGGUUAAACUUUGUGUAUUGGUGAAGAGAAGCUCAGGCUGUUUUAUUUGGUGGGAAAAGCGAACGAACUUCCCAAGCUGAAACUACACUUCCCAGAGUUCUGUGCGAGGGACGACUGCGGGGCGAGCACGCGGAGAGACCGACAGACAGACGCAGGGCUGUGUUUAUCCAACGAGGAAACUGUGAAGUGAUUAACUUCAGUCUGAGCUACUACAACUACUGAGCUGUAAAAAUCUAAAUAUACCACCGAUGCUGCAUUGAUGGAGAUGUACUUACACUGAUAAAAGAAGAGGUGUGUAUUACAGAUGAG
This 533-nucleotide long non-coding RNA is filed under the name Astyanax mexicanus (Mexican tetra). RNAcentral describes it as "lncRNA (ENSAMXG00005018766.1)". The record is from RNAcentral. Lineage: Eukaryota; Metazoa; Chordata; Actinopteri; Characiformes; Acestrorhamphidae.